Phascolarctos cinereus (koala) is the source of this 102-nucleotide small nuclear RNA. The record is from Ensembl. Lineage: Eukaryota; Metazoa; Chordata; Mammalia; Diprotodontia; Phascolarctidae.
UUGCUUGGCAGCACAUAUACUAAAACUGGAAUGACACAGAAAAAAUUAGCGUAGCCCCUGUGCAAGAAUGACACAAAGAUUUGUGGAAAGUUCCAAAUAUUU